This 46-nucleotide non-coding RNA is filed under the name Trichobilharzia regenti. The record is from RNAcentral. Lineage: Eukaryota; Metazoa; Platyhelminthes; Trematoda; Strigeidida; Schistosomatidae.
UUCCAAGCUGAAGAGCCCCAAAUAGGACGAAAUGUGCAUCCUGGAU